UGGUGGGUAGUUUGACUGGGGCGGUCUCCUCCCAAAGCGUAACGGAGGAGCACGAAGGUUAGCUAAUCCUGGUCGGACAUCAGGAGGUUAGUGCAAUGGCAUAAGCUAGCUUGACUGCGAGCGUGACGGCGCGAGCAGGUGCGAAAGCAGGUCAUAGUGAUCCGGUGGUUCUGAAUGGAAGGGCCAUCGCUCAACGGAUAAAAGGUACUCCGGGGAUAACAGGCUGAUACCGCCCAAGAGUUCAUAUCGACGGCGGUGUUUGGCACCUCGAUGUCGGCUCAUCACAUCCUGGGGCUGAAGUAGGUCCCAAGGGUAUGGCUGUUCGCCAUUUAAAGUGGUACGCGAGCUGGGUUUAGAACGUCGUGAGACAGUUCGGUCCCUAUCUGCCGUGGGCGCUGGAGAAUUGAGGGGGGCUGCUCCUAGUACGAGAGGACCGGAGUGGACGCAUCACUGGUGUUCGGGUUGUCAUGCCAAUGGCACUGCCCGGUAGCUAAAUGCGGAAGAGAUAAGUGCUGAA
This 517-nucleotide ribosomal RNA is filed under the name Klebsiella pneumoniae. RNAcentral's name for it is "partial 23S ribosomal RNA". It matches the Rfam family "Bacterial large subunit ribosomal RNA", at positions 2259 to 2775 of the family's 2925-position model. The record is from RNAcentral. Lineage: Bacteria; Pseudomonadati; Pseudomonadota; Gammaproteobacteria; Enterobacterales; Enterobacteriaceae.